Molecule: ribosomal RNA, 468 nt
Filed under: uncultured bacterium
Lineage: Bacteria
Description: partial 16S ribosomal RNA
Rfam family: Bacterial small subunit ribosomal RNA
Source: RNAcentral
GACGAACGCUGGCGGCGUGCUUAACACAUGCAAGUCGAACGGAAAGGCCCUGCUUUUGUGGGGUGCUCGAGUGGCGAACGGGUGAGUAACACGUGAGUAACCUGCCCUUGACUUUGGGAUAACUUCAGGAAACUGGGGCUAAUACCGGAUAGGGGCUCCUGCUGCAUGGUGGGGGUUGGAAAGUUUCGGCGGUUGGGGAUGGACUCGCGGCUUAUCAGCUUGUUGGUGGGGUAGUGGCUUACCAAGGCUUUGACGGGUAGCCGGCCUGAGAGGGUGACCGGCCACCUUGGGACUGCGAUACGGCCCAGACUCCUACGGUAGGCAGCAGUGGGGAAUAUUGCACAAUGGGCGGAAGCCUGAUGCAGCAACGCCGCGUGCGGGAUGACGGCCUUCGGGUUGUAAACCGCUUUCGCCUGUGACGAAGCGUGAGUGACGGUAAUGGGUAAAGAAGCACCGGCUAACUACGUG